This 1320-nucleotide ribosomal RNA is filed under the name Gibbosula rochechouartii. RNAcentral describes it as "16S ribosomal RNA". The stretch from base 866 to 1213 matches the Rfam family "Archaeal large subunit ribosomal RNA", at positions 2150 to 2716 of the family's 2987-position model. Lineage: Eukaryota; Metazoa; Mollusca; Bivalvia; Unionida; Margaritiferidae. The record is from RNAcentral.
ACACGACAAUUCCUAAGUAACACUUCUACUCACGCCUAAAGAAAAUACUCAACCAUAAAAAGUAUCAAACAAAACUACUUCAAAUGAUAAACCGCAAGGGCUAAAUAUUCAGUCAUUAAAAGAAAGAAUAAUCCACUCUCCCUUUUGCAUCAUGGAGAAGCAACACCCAAAUUAAUAACACUUAAACUCCCGAAAAAAUAUGAGCUACUAACCAUUAAAAUUAAUGUAUCACAAUUAAUAAACUAGGGGUUAGUAGGAGUAACAAGCCUUUCACAUUUUUUGAUAGCUGGUUUUCCCCAAAAAGCAUUAAAGUGCUGGUUUAUGGAACCAACAAUCUCAAUGAGCCAUAACCCCAAAACUACCUAGGAUAAGCUAGGCAGUUCACUCAAAAUACAUAAACCUUAAACAAUUUCAAGUAGGCUUAAAAACAGCCAACCUAUUGCGUUUUAGUGAAAAACAUCCGCAAAGCAUAUAAAACAAAUAAAUUUUAACUCAAGGGGAACCUAACGCACAACAACCCUCAACCCUAUCGAACAGGCAUUCUAUUAGUAUAAGGUUUCAUUAAACACAUCACCAUAAAUCCUAAGCGAACUCAACAACUACUAACCAACAUUACACACACAUAAUGAACUCGACAAUGCCGUCUUUCGCCUGUUUACCAAAAACAUCGUUUCUCGAACACUAACAUGGGAAAUAAUGCCUGCCCAGUGAAUCAAAAAAUUUUAACGGCCGCGUUAGCGUGAGCGUGCUAAGGUAGCGUAAUAAAUAGCCUUUUAAUUGGAGGCCAGUGAAUGGCAACACGGAAAACCAUUGUGUCAUGUAUGCAAAUAAAAUUUUAUUUUUGAGUGAAAAAGCUCAAAUAGCCGAGGAAGACAAAAAGACCCCGCGGAGCUUUACUUUAUCAAGCCAAACCAGUCUAACCAGAUCAGUUAUGCUAAUAAGUUUGGUUGGGGCAACCCCGGAACCUCCAAAGCUUCCGGUCAUAUUUAAGAACAAGAUCAAUAACACCUUUGGACUAAAAAGAAGCUACCCCGGGGAUAACAGCGUAAUCCAACUCAAGAGUACGCAUCGAAAGUUGGGUUUGCGACCUCGAUGUUGGCUUAAGGUAAUUCACAUAAGCGCAGCCGCUAUGACAGAAUAGUCUGUUCGACUAUUAUACCCUUACAUGAGCUGAGUUAAGACCGGCGCAAGCUAGGUUGGUUUCUAUCUCCUCCACACAACCACACUCUCAAUUGUACGAAAGGACCCUGAGAUAUGCAAACUCCAGCAACACCCAUAAAUCGCAACCACUAUACAACAUUCUAAUUCCAGUAACCUAUC